This 253-nucleotide ribosomal RNA is filed under the name uncultured bacterium. RNAcentral's name for it is "partial 16S ribosomal RNA". It matches the Rfam family "Bacterial small subunit ribosomal RNA", at positions 524 to 776 of the family's 1533-position model. The record is from RNAcentral.
UACGGGGGGGGCAAGCGUUGUUCGGAAUUACUGGGCGUAAAGGGCUCGUAGGCGGCCAACUAAGUCCGACGUGAAAUUCCCGGGCUCAACCUGGGGGCUGCGUUUGAUACGUGCAGACUUGAGUUCGGAAGAGGGUCGUGGAAUUCCCAGUGUAGAGGUGAAAUUCGUAGAUAUUGGGAAGAACACCAAUGGCGAAGGCAGCACUCUGGGACGUGACUGACGCUGAGACGCGAAAGCGUGGGGAGCAAACAGG